UACGUAGGGUGCGAGCGUUGUCCGGAAUUAUUGGGCGUAAAGAGCUCGUAGGCGGUCUGUCGCGUCUGCUGUGAAAACUCGGGGCUUAACCCCGGGCCUGCAGUGGGUACGGGCAGACUAGAGUGCGGUAGGGGAGACUGGAAUUCCUGGUGUAGCGGUGAAAUGCGCAGAUAUCAGGAGGAACACCGGUGGCGAAGGCGGCAUCCUGGACCGGUAUUGACGCUGAGGCGUGAAAGCCAGGGGAGCAAACGGG
RNAcentral lists this ribosomal RNA (253 nucleotides) under uncultured bacterium. RNAcentral's name for it is "partial 16S ribosomal RNA". It matches the Rfam family "Bacterial small subunit ribosomal RNA", at positions 524 to 776 of the family's 1533-position model. The record is from RNAcentral.